UGGUUGGAAGAUCUAAUACCUGAUCAGUAAAAAGAAGUACACAGGACCUACUCCUUCAUGCCAAUACUCACUAGAUCACAGAGAUUUCCUUAAUACUUUUACCCUAGCUGAAGGAAAAUGUAGAGGUCAAUGUUUUCUAAGACCUCCAUGGAAGAUAGGCAUUUAGGAUACUACAGAGAAGCCGAAUCCCGGAGCUAUGUCCGAAAAGCAAAGCCCCAAGACCUCUGAAGCAGAAUGCAGUGCAAUGGACUUGCCAGAAUUCGAGGAUGAAGAAAACUGGCUUUUCAAAGUUCUGGGAUUCCAGCCUGGGCCGUCCUCUGCUCUGGAUGAUGACACCGACGAUCAGGCAGAUGAGCCACUGAGCGCUGCCGAAUUUCCUCACCUGCAAGAUAUUCUUCAGGAGGACAGAGUCAGCAGUACCGAUGAUGAGGACACUUGCCAAGCUA
This 446-nucleotide small RNA is filed under the name Mus musculus (house mouse). Its description in RNAcentral is "testes specific x-linked transcript c". Lineage: Eukaryota; Metazoa; Chordata; Mammalia; Rodentia; Muridae. The record is from RNAcentral.